AGAACGAACGCUGGCGGCAUGCCUAACACAUGCAAGUCGAGCGCCCGUAGCAAUACGGGAGCGGCAGACGGGAUAGUAACACGUGGGAACGCGCCCUUCGGUUCGGAAUAACUCAGGGAAACUUGAGCUAAUACCGGAUACGCCCUUACGGGGAAAGAUUUAUUGCCGAAGGAACGGCCCGCGUCCGAUUAGCUAGUUGGUGAGGUAAUGGCUCACCAAGGCGACGAUCGGUAGCUGGUCUGAGAGGAUGACCAGCAUCACUGGGACUGAGACACGGCCCAGACUCCUACGGGAGGCAGCAGUGGGGAAUAUUGGACAAUGGGCGCAAGCCUGAUCCAGCCAUGCCGCGUGGAUGAUGAAGGCCUUAGGGUUGUAAAGUCCUUUUAACGGGGAAGAUAAUGACGGUACCCGUAGAAUAAGCCCCGGCUAACUUCGUGCCAGCAGCCGC
Molecule: ribosomal RNA, 448 nt
Filed under: uncultured bacterium
Lineage: Bacteria
Description: SSU rRNA
Rfam family: Bacterial small subunit ribosomal RNA
Source: RNAcentral